This 493-nucleotide ribosomal RNA is filed under the name uncultured bacterium. Its description in RNAcentral is "partial 16S ribosomal RNA". It matches the Rfam family "Bacterial small subunit ribosomal RNA", at positions 30 to 507 of the family's 1533-position model. The record is from RNAcentral.
CGACCGCUGGCGGCGUGCCUAAUACAUGCAAGUAGACCGCUGAAGGAGGAGCUUGCUUCUCUGGAUGAGUUGCGAACGGGUGAGUAACGCGUAGGUAACCUGCCUGGUAGCGGGGGAUAACUAUUGGAAACGAUAGCUAAUACCGCAUAAUAGUAGAUGUUGCAUGACAUUUGCUUAAAAGGUGCAAUUGCAUCACUACCAGAUGGACCUGCGUUGUAUUAGCUAGUUGGUGGGGUAACGGCUCACCAAGGCGACGAUACAUAGCCGACCUGAGAGGGUGAUCGGCCACACUGGGACUGAGACACGGCCCAGACUCCUACGGGAGGCAGCAGUAGGGAAUCUUCGGCAAUGGACGGAAGUCUGACCGAGCAACGCCGCGUGAGUGAAGAAGGUUUUCGGAUCGUAAAGCUCUGUUGUAAGAGAAGAACGAGUGUGAGAGUGGAAAGUUCACACUGUGACGGUAUCUUACCAGAAAGGGACGGCUAACUACGUG